CUUUACUCUAGCUUGGCACUGAGUCGUACAUAUAUUUGUGCAGGAUAGGUGGGAGACUAUGAAAGAUGGACGCCAGUUCAUCUCGGGUCGUCGUUGAGAUACCACCCUCGUAUAUGUAUGCCUCUAACCCCUUUUUGGGGGACCGUGCUUGGUGGGGAGUUUAACUGGGGCGGUUGCCUCCUAAAACGUAACGGAGGCGCACAAAGGUAGGCUAGGUCCGGAUGGAAAUCGGACUGGUCGUGUAUUCGCACAAGCCUGCUUGACUGAGAGACCUACAAGUCGAUCAGAGACGAAAGUCGGUGAAAGUGAUCCGGCACCAACAUGUGGGAGUGGUGUCGCUCAACGGAUAAAAGUUA
Molecule: ribosomal RNA, 356 nt
Filed under: uncultured organism
Description: bacterial LSU rRNA
Rfam family: Bacterial large subunit ribosomal RNA
Source: RNAcentral